This 1594-nucleotide ribosomal RNA is filed under the name Amylomyces rouxii. RNAcentral's name for it is "SSU rRNA". It matches the Rfam family "Eukaryotic small subunit ribosomal RNA". The record is from RNAcentral. Lineage: Eukaryota; Fungi; Mucoromycota; Mucoromycetes; Mucorales; Mucoraceae.
UAGUAUUAUACGGCGACUGCGAAUGGCUCUAUAUAUUAUCGUUAUUUGAUAGCACCUACUACUUGGAUAACCGUGGUAAUUCUAAGCUAAUACAUGCUAAAUCCCGACUUGGAAGGGAUGUAUUUAUUAGAUUAAAAACCAAUGCCCUCUGGGCUCUCUGGUGAUUCAUGAUAACUUCUCGAAUCGCAUGCCUUGCGCCGGCGAUGGUUCAUUCAAAUUUCUUCCCUAUCAACUUUCGAUGUUUGGGUAGUGGCCAAACAUGGUUGCAACGGGUAACGGAGGGUUAGGGCUCGACCCAGAAGGAGCCUGAAAAACGGCUACUACAUCCAAGGAAGGCAGCAGGCGCGCAAAUUACCCAAUCCCGACACGGGGAGGUAGUGACAAUAAAUACUGAUACAGGGCUCUUUUGGGUCUUGUAAUUGGAAUGAGUACAAUUUAAAUCCCUUAACGAGGAACAAUUGGAGGGCAAGUCUGGUGCCAGCAGCCGCGGUAAUUCCAGCUCCAAUAGGGUAUAUUACCAGGAAGUUGUUGUGGUUAAAAAGCUCGUAGUAGAACCUUGGGCCUGGCUGGCGGUCCGCCUCACCGUGCACUGGUCCGGCCGGGCCUUUCCCUCGAACCCCAUGCCCUUCACUGGUGUGGCGGGAAACAGGACUUUUACUUUGAAAAAAUUAGAGUGCUCCAGGCAGGCCUAUGCUCGAAUACAUUAGCAUGGAAUAAUGAAAUAGGACGUGCGGUUCUAUUUUGUUGGUUUCUAGGACCGCCGUAAUGAUUAAUAGGGACAGUCGGGGGCAUCAGUAUUCAAUUGUCAGAGUGAAAUUCUUGGAUUUAUUGAAGACUAACUACUGCGAAAUUUGCCAAGGAUGUUUUCAUUAAUCAGGAACGAAAGUUAGGGGAUCGAAGACGAUCAGAUACCGUCGUAGUCUUAACCAUAAACUAUGCCGACUAGGGAUCGGACGAUGUUAUUUUUUGACUCGUUCGGCACCUUAGAGAAAUCAAAGUGCUUGGGCUCCGGGGGGAGUAUGGACGCAGGCUGAAAAAGAAAUUGACGGAAGGGCACCACCAGGGGGGGAACCUGCGAUUUGACUCCACGGGGAAACUCACCAGGUCCAGACACAGAGGAUUGACAGAUUGAGAGCUCUUUCUUGAUUUUGUGGGUGGUGGUGCAUGCCGUUCUUAGUUGGUGGAGUGAUUUGGCUUAAUUGCGAUAACGAACGAGACCUUAACCUGUAAAUAGCCCGUAUUGCUUUGGCAGUACGCCGGCUUCUUAGAGGGACUAUCGGCUCAAGCCGGAAGUUUGAGGCAAUAACAGGUCUGUGAUGCCCUUAGAUGUUGUGGGCCGCACGCGCGCUACACGACGGAGCCAGCGAGUACUCCCUUGGCCGGAAGGCCCGGGUAAUCUUGUUAAACUCCGUCGUGCUGGGGAUAGAGCAUUGCAAUUAUUGCUCUUCAACGAGGAAUCCCUAGUAAGCGCAAGUCAUCAGCUUGCGUUGAUUACGUCCCUGCCCUUUGUACACACCGCCCGUCGCUACUACCGAUUGAAUGGCUCGUGAGGCGUCCGGACCCAGAGAGGUGGGCAUACCAUCACCAACUCUCC